CUGCUUUCCUCUUUCUUUUAAAAAGAGCUUUUUUCCCUUCACUCUGUAGUCUACUUCUUGCAUUAUGAAGUUAACUUUCAAAUUAGUUGUAAUUUUCUUUAGCUUUUCUAGAGUGUUAUUCUAUUAAUCGUAUAUAUUUAUGAUUCCAUAAUUAUUAUUUUCUGUUUAUAUUUCCUUAAAAGUAGUUCCAAUCCGACCUUGCUACGCAUCAAUUUUAAUGGUUUUUGAAAAUUUGAGUAUCUAGAUUCAGGAGUGCUUGUUGCUUAAAAUUGCAUAAAACCAUACCCACUUUAACUUGAUGGUGUUCUUUGUGAG
RNAcentral lists this unclassified non-coding RNA (315 nucleotides) under Hevea brasiliensis (rubber tree). The record is from RNAcentral. Lineage: Eukaryota; Viridiplantae; Streptophyta; Magnoliopsida; Malpighiales; Euphorbiaceae.